Molecule: ribosomal RNA, 492 nt
Filed under: uncultured bacterium
Lineage: Bacteria
Description: partial 16S ribosomal RNA
Rfam family: Bacterial small subunit ribosomal RNA
Source: RNAcentral
AGUGAACGCUGGCGGUAGGCCUAACACAUGCAAGUCGAACGGCAGCACAGUAAGAGCUUGCUCUUACGGGUGGCGAGUGGCGGACGGGUGAGGAAUACAUCGGAAUCUACUUUUUCGUGGGGGAUAACGUAGGGAAACUUACGCUAAUACCGCAUACGACCUACGGGUGAAAGCAGGGGAUCUUCGGACCUUGCGCGAUUGAAUGAGCCGAUGUCGGAUUAGCUAGUUGGCGGGGUAAAGGCCCACCAAGGCGACGAUCCGUAGCUGGUCUGAGAGGAUGAUCAGCCACACUGGAACUGAGACACGGUCCAGACUCCUACGGGAGGCAGCAGUGGGGAAUAGUGGACAAUGGGCGGGAGCCUGAUCCAGCCAUACCGCGUGGGUGAAGAAGGCCUUCGGGUUGUAAAGCCCUUUUGUUGGGAAAGAAAAGCAGCAGGUUAAUACCCCGCUGUUCUGACGGUACCCAAAGAAUAAGCACCGGCUAACUUCGUG